GUAAGAGUGGAGGUGUCUUCUGGAAUAGUGAAUCCUUCUUCUAUGAUGUCCCAUAUAUCUUGAGAGUGGAAGAAUGUCUUCAUUUUGACACUCCAGAAAUCAUAAUUUUCUCCUAUGAAAAUAGGUACUGGAAGUGAUGAUGUUUGAUUGGUAGUAGCCUUGAGUUGAGAAAAUAUUUUGGAGGUAGUACAAAAUGGGGUUAUAGUUUUGUUUAAGGAAGUUGAAAAUUUUAUCUACGCCCAGUAUAUGACCGAACGUAGCUCUGGUACCACUGUUAGUAUUUAAAGGUUGUGAAAGGAGUAGUUGAUAAGGUAGAGGAAAUGUGGAGAUAGUAGGAUGUAGAAGUAGUAGUUGGAAGAAGUGUUGUAGUUGUCUUAGUUGUUGUAGAUGUUGGCUUCUUGUCUACAUGCAUGAAAUGGUAGAGUUCAUGGGUAUUUAU
RNAcentral lists this long non-coding RNA (439 nucleotides) under Vigna radiata. RNAcentral describes it as "long non-coding RNA (VRAD_LNC014677)". Lineage: Eukaryota; Viridiplantae; Streptophyta; Magnoliopsida; Fabales; Fabaceae. The record is from RNAcentral.